GGACCCGCACAAGCAGUGGAGCAUGUGGUUUAAUUCGAUGCAACGCGAAGAACCUUACCCAGACUUGACAUGCAGUUGACCGCUCUAGAAAUAGGGCUUUCCUUCGGGACAAUUGCACAGGUGCUGCA
Molecule: ribosomal RNA, 128 nt
Filed under: uncultured bacterium
Lineage: Bacteria
Description: partial 16S ribosomal RNA
Rfam family: Bacterial small subunit ribosomal RNA
Source: RNAcentral